RNAcentral lists this ribosomal RNA (274 nucleotides) under uncultured bacterium. RNAcentral's name for it is "partial 16S ribosomal RNA". It matches the Rfam family "Bacterial small subunit ribosomal RNA", at positions 523 to 796 of the family's 1533-position model. The record is from RNAcentral.
AUACGGAGGGUGCAAGCGUUAUUCGGAAUCACUGGGCGUAAAGGGUGCGUAGGCGGUUUGAUAAGUCUGAUGUGAAAUCCUAUGGCUCAACCAUAGAACUGCAUUGGAAACUGUCAGACUAGAAUACUGAAGGGGCAGAUGGAAUUAGUGGUGUAGGGGUAAAAUCCGUAGAUAUCAAUAGGAAUACCGAAAGCGAAAGCGAUCUGCUGGGAAGUUAUUGACGCUGAGGCACGAAAGCGUGGGGAGCAAACGGGAUUAGAUACCCUAGUAGUCC